GGUGACAGGUGCUGCAUGGCUGUCGUCAGCUCGUGUCGUGAGAUGUUGGUUAAGUCCCGCAACGAGCGCAACCCUCGCCUUUAGUUGCCAGCAUUCAGUUGGGCACUCUAGAGGGACUGCCGGUGGUCAAACCGGAGGAAGGUGGGGAUGACGUCAAGUCCUCAUGGCCUUUAUGUCUAGGGCUACACACGUACUACAAUGGCCGGUACAAAGGGCAGCCACUCAGCGAUGAGGCGCUAAUCCCAUAAAGCCGGUCUCAGUCCGGAUCGCAGUCUGCAACUCGACUGCGUGAAGUUGGAAUCGCUAGUAAUCGUAGAUCAGCAUGCUACGGUGAAUACGUUCCCGGGCCUU
RNAcentral lists this ribosomal RNA (351 nucleotides) under uncultured Desulfovibrio sp. RNAcentral's name for it is "bacterial SSU rRNA". It matches the Rfam family "Bacterial small subunit ribosomal RNA", at positions 1030 to 1382 of the family's 1533-position model. Lineage: Bacteria; Pseudomonadati; Thermodesulfobacteriota; Desulfovibrionia; Desulfovibrionales; Desulfovibrionaceae. The record is from RNAcentral.